This 443-nucleotide ribosomal RNA is filed under the name uncultured bacterium. RNAcentral's name for it is "partial 16S ribosomal RNA". It matches the Rfam family "Bacterial small subunit ribosomal RNA", at positions 338 to 795 of the family's 1533-position model. The record is from RNAcentral.
ACUACGGGUGGCAGCAGUGGGGAAUAUUGUGCAAUGGGCGCAAGCCUGACCCAGCAACGCCGCGUGAAGGAAGAAGGCUUUCGGGUUGUAAACUUCUUUUCUCAGGGACGAAGAAAGUGACGGUACCUGAGGAAUAAGCCACGGCUAACUACGUGCCAGCAGCCGCGGUAAUACGUAGGUGGCAAGCGUUAUCCGGAUUUAUUGGGUGUAAAGGGCGUGUAGGCGGGAGCGCAAGUCAGAUGUGAAAACUCAGGGCUCAACCCUGAGCCUGCAUUUGAAACUGUGUUUCUUGAGUGCUGGAGAGGCAAUCGGAAUUCCGUGUGUAGCGGUGAAAUGCGUAGAUAUACGGAGGAACACCAGUGGCGAAGGCGGAUUGCUGGACAGUAACUGACGCUGAGGCGCGAAAGCGUGGGGAGCAAACAGGAUUAGAUACCCCUGUAGUC